GACCGUAAAAUUUCUGUGCUUUCUUAAUACAGCCUUUGUGAUGCAGAGCUUUGAGUACUUGGAGGGUGCUUCAGAACUGGGGACUCCGAGACCAUCUCUGGCAGCCUCUUGUGAGCAUCUGAGCCAACAUCUUGGUUGCAUUUUCUCCACGUUGGAGUGACUCUUCUUGGGCAUGCCAGCUUCUUCUUUGAGUCUGUAAUGCAUUCCUGACCAAAUACCCCUCACAUGUGCCCUUCCAUGUGAACAGAAACGCCUCUCCCUCUGAGGUGAAAAUGGUGCUGUCAACACCCUCCUCAGAGGGCACAUGCCUUGUGAGUGAGAGUGAUGGAGCUCCGCCAGCAGCCAUGCUCUCCACCCUCCUCACGGGGAAAGGCUGCUCUUUACUGGCCAGCCCUCUGGAAAUGUCCCUCUGAGUCACUCUUAAUAAGACAGGAGAAAGCAAUUUCCUGCUUUCACGCCUUCCCUUUUUUCUUUUCUCUCUUCCUUCCUUCUUCCGUUCCUCUUCCUUCCCUCCCUCUUGACCUUCCUCUCUCCCUCCCUUCUUUCCUUCCUUCCUGUGGCUCUCCUUUGUGAGUGACCUACCUCCGCUUCCUACUCUGUGACUUUGCACAUUCAAUCAUUGCCUGGCUCCACCAGCAGUAUAUAAGGUGAAAGAGGAUCCUGCCAGCUGUUCUAGGCCCAGAGGACACCUCUCUCUCUCUGUCACACACACACACACACACACACACACACACACACACACACACACACACUCUCUCUCUCUCUCCCUCUCACACACACACACACCCACUCAUUGAUGGGGUAAUAGGAUCAAGAGGUAGCUUUGCAUCAUCAAAAAGAAGUCAGUCAUUCUAGCCUGGAGCUUUAGAAGACGAAGUAAAAAAGAAGUCAGACAGUCCUAGCUUUGGAUCCUGGCCCAGCCACUUACUAGGUGGGAGACCUUGGAUGAGGAAACUGAGGCUGAAACAGGCAAUUAAUUUGUGCAGGUGGCACGUUUACUACAUGGUGGAACCAGGAUCUGAACUCAAAUUUGUCUGUGAAUGUUUUCAGAAUAUUCACCUACAUGUUGCCCAAAGUCAAGGCUGCCCUGGGGCAGUGUGUAUACCUGAAUGACAAUCAGUACAGGCACUGAGGGAAGGGAGAACCAAUGCUGGAGAGGCAAGCAUAACUGCCACUGUUAACUUUGUGACCAAACUUCAUGUCUUGUGGCCUAAAGGACAAUCGUAUCCCUUCUGGGGGAAUUUCCCCACCUCCAUGUUGAAGCCAAGGAUGACUAGUACUCCAUGGAAAAGAGGUCAACAUGAUAACCAGGAGAUGUGGUCAUGGGGAUUAAAAGGUUCGAAGCUGUUCCAGAAAGGAUGUCAUUGAUGUGGAAUACAGGAGCGAGUCCAGCGGAUUCGUGGAAAUGGAUGGAGACUGCUGAGUUGAGAGACUGAGAAGUGGAGGUACCUAGGAAGGUCCUCCCUGAAAAUACAUCGGGUUGUAAAACCUGGAAAGAAAUACCUCCAUUUGUCAGGCACUCACAGGGCGCUGUCCUCCGGCAGCUCCCAUGUUGAGCGCCCAGGGCAGCGACCAGACCGCGUCCUGUCCUCCUGCACGGGGCCAGCACUGGAUGGUCCCGCGACACAUAGUGUCUGCAGCUUUAGAGGCCUCCCCAGGAGUGCUACCGCGGUCAUUUCUGCCCAGCAGUAAAAUAACACCCAAUCAGCGAGCCGCCAGCUGCAAACUGUUCCGACCUACUCCUCCCUCCCCGGCUUAAUUCCCACCUAUACCAAAGUGGCCCCACGCGGGCAGAAGCGAAAGACGGAAAUGAGGGGAGGCCAACUACUCGAGAUCUGCGCCCGAAGCAGAUUUUCCACGCGCUCAGAGCAGGGUCGGGGAAAGGCCCACUUGGGGCUUCUGAGAGAGAGGGAAGGGCAGGGAAAGGGCUGCCCCCAAGCAAGACACAGUUGGGUUAACAACUGAGUCUUUGCCUCGUUGACAAAGGAUAAUGAGGGACUCGCGCCAGGCUGGCUUGAACUGACUAGAGAAAAGCGACUUCUGUAAUUCAGGGCCCUCCGCGUGCGAAGGAAACUUUGGCAAAGCAGAAAGGCAUGCAGUCUCCAGGCGGAAAAACGUGAACCAUGGGACAUGAUGGGCUCCAGGGCCGUGGAUGCAGUUGCCCGAGGCCCCAGGGCCGCCCCCGGAAGGCCGGGACUGCCAGGGACGCGGCGUGGGGGUGCUGACUGCCGCUCCAGGCCUCGGGGUUCACGCGCUCCAGCAGCAUCCGCUCACCCCGCUCCCCGCCCACUUCCAUGAUCACGAGGGGGCAAGGCUAGCCAAUCCGGGGUGGCCACCGCCCGGCCCUGCGAGGACUCGAGGAGCACUGGGAAACUGCGCGGUGCCUAGAGGUACAAAGAACAGGUCCUGGGAGGGUAGUAGGAGGGGACUCAGCACAGCCUAUGUCAGUUUGUCAACAAGGAUUUGCUGAGAAGUCGCACUGUGCUCAGCAUAGCGGCACUGCCUACCUAAUGGGCUUUGGGGCAUAGACAGUGAAUAACCUGGCAGUGAUAAUAGUGUGCUGAAAGAAAGGCCAGCCCCAACAGCCACUACAGGAACCUCAGAAAGGAGGGGGCGUCCCUGUUAGUGGCUGAUACUGGAUUUCUCAUUGUGUUCGUGGCUGGCGCCAAGCCAGAGAUCAUAAUGUAGAACAAAUAAAUGUGAAGUUUCUUACAUCCAAGUGGCCAGGGAAAACCUAUACUAAUUACAUGGUACAAACCCGCUGUGAUCAUGUGCUAAAUUGGGUGGCAGUCAGAGUACAGCUGUCGAGAUAUCUCUGAGGGCCAGAGUGAUCAGGAAAAGCUUUGUGGAAGAGGAAGAACUGGAGUUAGGUGCUGAAUGACGGGCAGGAUAUGGACAAGCAGAGGAAAGUGGGAAGGCGUUCCAGGAGGGAAGGGGCAGCAUAGCCAAAGCCCGGGGGAUGAGCAUGGUGGGUUUAUGGGGUUUUAGAGGGAUUAGCCUGUUUGGAGUGUAGCAGGUGCUCUGAAGAGCAUGGGACAGAAGAGAGCACAGGCAGCUGGAGUGUAGAGAUGGGGGCUAAUUGCAGAAUCCCACAGUGCCUAGGAAGGUCUCAGCUGUCAAGGUCUUCUCCUGAGACUCAUUCUCAGCUCCUUUUGGGGUUUAGGAAAGGUCUUUCAUGAGAGUUCCAAACAUUUUAGUUACUGUUUAAUUCCUUCUCACUGAAUCCCCAUGGAAGGGGGCAAAAAGCAAGUGCUACUCCUCCGAGGUACUAAAACCCUGGUGCUGAGGAUGAGGCUGCUCCAGAGGGACCUCUGAGAGAGAGAGAGAGAUGGUAUCUUAUGAGUUUCAUAAGUCUUUUAGGCAAGAAAGCAGGAGGAGAUACUGAAGGGACCCCCUAAGGAAGCAGAAAAGCUUUACCUUCUCCUCUGCAAGAGGCAUCAGGAUUCCCUUUGAAAACAGAGCAGAGGACAGCGCAGAAAAAUUCAAGAAUGUUUGCUCUCACCACUUCUAUUUAGCUUUAUACAGGAGAUCCUAGCCAGUGCAAAAGGGCAAGAAAAGACAUUAAAGACAUGCAGACUGAAGCAGGAAGAAGUAAAACUGUCCUUAUUACAGGUGGCAUGAUUUUGUAUGUAGAAAAGCCUAAGAAAUCUACAAAAAUCUACUGGAACGAAUAAGCAAACUUAGUAAGGUUGCAGGAUACACUAUAACAAACUGUCCAAAAAUGAAGUUAAGAAAACAAUUCCACUCAUAAUAGCAUAAAAAGAAUAAAAUACUUAGGAAUAAUUUUAACAAAAGAAGUGUAAGACCUAUGUACUGAAAACCUUAAAACAUUGCUGAGAAAAUUUUAAAAAGAUCUAAACAAAUGGAAAGACACACAAUGUUCAUGGAUCGGAAGAUUCAAUAUUGUUAAGAUAGUAAUUGUCCCCAAAUUAAACUAUAGUUUCAGCUCAACCCAUAUCAAAAUAGGUUGUUUUUUGUAGGACUUGACAAGCUGAUACUAAAAUUUAUAUGAAAAUGCAAAGGAUCUAGAGAAAUCAAAACAACUUUGAAAAAGAACAAAGUUGGAGGAUUUAAAAAAUAAAGCUACAGUGAUCAAAACAGUGUGGUAUUGACUUAAAGAUAGGCAUACAUCCAUAGAACAGAGCAUAUUCCAGAAAUAAACUCUUACAUUUAUGGUCUAUUGAUUUUUGACAAGGGUGUCAAGGUAAUUCAAUAGUCAUCAAUAAUUGAUGCUGGAGCAAUGGAUAUUCCUGUGCAAAAAAAAAAAUUAACUUACAUUCUUACCUCACAACAACCAUAUGCAAAAAUUAACUAAAAAUGAAUCACAGCCUAAAUGUAAGAGUUAAACUAUAAAAUUCCUAGAAGAAAUCACAGGAGAAACAUGGAUUAGGGCAAAGGCUUCUUAGAUGUGAUACCAAAAACAUGAUCCUUAAAAAAAUUAAUAAAUUCAACUUUAUCAGAAUUUAACUUUUGUUUUUCAGAAGAUACCAUUGAGAAAAUGGAAAGGCAAGCCACAGACUUGAAUAAAAUAUUUGCAAAUCAUAUACCUGAUAAGGUAUUUAUAUUCAGAAAUAUAAAGAAUUCAAUAAGACAAACUGAUUUUUUUAAUGAGCAAGAUUUGAAUAUAUAUUGCACCAAAGCAGACAUAUGAAUGGUGAAUAAGCAUAUAAAAAGAUGUUCAACAUCAUUACUCAUUAGAGAAAUUCAAAUUAAAACUAUAAUGAACUAUUAAUACCCACUGACAAUAUCAAGUGUCAGCAAGGAUGUGGCAAAAUUGAAACCAUAGAAUGGUACAGCUAAUUUAGAUAAUUGUUUGGAAGUUUCUCAAAAUGUUAAAUAUAUUUGCUAUAUGACCCAGCAAUUAAACUCCUAAAUAUCUACCCAAGAGAAAUGAAGACACAGAUUCACAUAAAGACUUAUAUGCAAAUGUUCAUAGCCAUGUUAUACAUACUAGCCCAAGCUGGAAAUAAUCCAAAUGUCCUUUAGCUGGUGUAUAAACAAAAUGUGGUAUAUUCAUACAAUGGACUACUACUUGGCAAUAAAAAGGAAUGAACUACGGAUACGUGCAACAAUAUGGAUGAAUUUCAAAAACAUGCUAAGUAGAAAAAGUCAGAUAAAAAAUGUUUUGUAUAAUUUCACUUAUGUGAAAUUUCUAGAAAAGGCAAAAUAUAGAAGUAUUCUAAAGUUGAAUUAUUAUUAUAAUUGUGACUAUUUUACAAGUGUAUAAAUUUACUUAAAAUCAAACUGUACCCUUAUAAUAGGUAAAUUUUAUGGUAUAUAAAUUAUACUUCAAUAAAGCUGUUAAAACAAAGGACA
Long non-coding RNA from Gorilla gorilla gorilla (western lowland gorilla), 5316 nucleotides. RefSeq lists it as uncharacterized. The record is from RefSeq and is a predicted model, not a curated record. The transcript is spliced from 3 exons. Lineage: Eukaryota; Metazoa; Chordata; Mammalia; Primates; Hominidae.